Molecule: small RNA, 30 nt
Filed under: Bombyx mori (domestic silkworm)
Lineage: Eukaryota; Metazoa; Arthropoda; Insecta; Lepidoptera; Bombycidae
Description: ovarian small RNA-28683
Source: RNAcentral
UCGCCGAAAGGCGAGGCCCCGGAUAGGAUA